CCUACGGGGGGCUGCAGUAAGGAAUAUUGGUCAAUGGAGGAAACUCUGAACCAGCCAUCCCGCGUGCAGGAUGAAAGCCCUAUGGGUUGUAAACUGCUUUUAGCAGAGAAGAAAAGCUUUCAUUAAUGAGAGUCUGACGGUAUCUGCAGAAUAAGCACCGGCUAACUCCGUGCCAGCAGCCGCGGUAAUACGGAGGGUGCGAGCGUUAUCCGGAUUUACUGGGUUUAAGGGGUAGGUUUAAGGCAUAUUAGAAAUCUUGUCGCUUAACGAUGAAAUUGCCAAUGAUACUGGUACUCUUGAAGUGGGUUGAGGUUAGCGGAAUGUGACAUGUAGCGAUGAAAUGCAUAGAUAUGUCAUGGAACACCAAUUGCGAAGGCAGCUAACUGGGCCUUGAUUGACGCUGAGGCACGAAAGCGUGGGUAGCGAACAGGAUUAGAUACCCGAGUAGUC
Molecule: ribosomal RNA, 450 nt
Filed under: uncultured bacterium
Lineage: Bacteria
Description: partial 16S ribosomal RNA
Rfam family: Bacterial small subunit ribosomal RNA
Source: RNAcentral